GUGGGGAAUCUUCCGCAAUGGACGAAAGUCUGACGGAGCAACGCCGCGUGAGUGAAGAAGGUUUUCGGAUCGUAAAGCUCUGUUGUUUGAGACGAAUGUGCAGACUUUGAAUAAGGGUUUGUAAUGACGGUAUUAAACGAGAAAGCCACGGCUAACUACGUGCCAGCAGCCGCGGUAAUACGUAGGUGGCAAGCGUUGUCCGGAAUUAUUGGGCGUAAAGGGAGCGCAGGUGGGAAUGUAAGUCAGUCUUAAAAGUGCGGGGCUCAACCCCGUGAGGGGAUUGAAACUACAUUUCUUGAGUGCAGGAGAGGAAAGUGGAAUUCCUAGUGUAGCGGUGAAAUGCGUAGAGAUUAGGAGGAACACCAGUGGCGAAGGCGACUUUCUGGACUGUAACUGACACUGAGGCUCGAAAGCCAGGGGAGCGAACGGGAUUAGAUACCCGUGUAGUCC
RNAcentral lists this ribosomal RNA (450 nucleotides) under uncultured bacterium. RNAcentral describes it as "partial 16S ribosomal RNA". It matches the Rfam family "Bacterial small subunit ribosomal RNA", at positions 354 to 796 of the family's 1533-position model. The record is from RNAcentral.